GGGCGUUAAGUUGCAGGGUAUAGACCCGAAACCCGGUGAUCUAGCCAUGGGCAGGUUGAAGGUUGGGUAACACUAACUGGAGGACCGAACCGACUAAUGUUGAAAAAUUAGCGGAUGACCUGUGGCUGGGGGUGAAAGGCCAAUCAAACCGGGAGAUAGCUGGUUCUCCCCGAAAGCUAUUUAGGUAGCGCCUCGUGAAUUCAUCUCCGGGGGUAGAGCACUGUUUCGGCUAGGGGGCCAUCCCGGCUUACCAACCCGAUGCAAACUGCGAAUACCGGAGAAUGUUAUCACGGGAGACACACGGCGGGUGCUAACGUCCGUCGUGAAGAGGGAAACAACCCAGACCGCCAGCUAAGGUCCCAAAGUCAUGGUUAAGUGGGAAACGAUGUGGGAAGGCCCAGACAGCCAGGAUGUUGGCUUAGAAGCAGCCAUCAUUUAAAGAAAGCGUAAUAGCUCACUGGUCGAGUCGGCCUGCGCGGAAGAUGUAACGGGGCUAAACCAUGCACCGAAGCUGCGGCAGCGACGCUUAUGCGUUGUUGGGUAGGGGAGCGUUCUGUAAGCCUGUGAAGGUGGCCUGUGAGGGUUGCUGGAGGUAUCAGAAGUGCGAAUGCUGACAUAAGUAACGAUAAAGCGGGUGAAAAGCCCGCUCGCCGGAAGACCAAGGGUUCCUGUCCAACGUUAAUCGGGGCAGGGUGAGUCGACCCCUAAGGCGAGGCCGAAAGGCGUAGUCGAUGGGAAACGGGUUAAUAUUCCCGUACUUGGUGUUACUGCGAAGGGGGGACGGAGAAGGCUAUGUUGGCCGGGCGACGGUUGUCCCGGUUUAAGCGUGUAGGUGUGUGUUCCAGGUAAAUCCGGUUCACUUUAACACUGAGGCGUGAUGACGAGGCACUACGGUGCUGAAGUAACAAAUGCCCUGCUUCCAGGAAAAGCCUCUAAGCAUCAGGUAACAUCAAAUCGUACCCCAAACCGACACAGGUGGUCAGGUAGAGAAUACCAAGGCGCUUGAGAGAACUCGGGUGAAGGAACUAGGCAAAAUGGUGCCGUAACUUCGGGAGAAGGCACGCUGACACGUAGGUGAAGUGAUUUACUCACGGAGCUGAAGUCAGUCGAAGAUACCAGCUGGCUGCAACUGUUUAUUAAAAACACAGCACUGUGCAAACACGAAAGUGGACGUAUACGGUGUGACGCCUGCCCGGUGCCGGAAGGUUAAUUGAUGGGGUCAGCGCAAGCGAAGCUCCUGAUCGAAGCCCCGGUAAACGGCGGCCGUAACUAUAACGGUCCUAAGGUAGCGAAAUUCCUUGUCGGGUAAGUUCCGACCUGCACGAAUGGCGUAAUGAUGGCCAGGCUGUCUCCACCCGAGACUCAGUGAAAUUGAACUCGCUGUGAAGAUGCAGUGUACCCGCGGCAAGACGGAAAGACCCCGUGAACCUUUACUAUAGCUUGACACUGAACAUUGAGCCUUGAUGUGUAGGAUAGGUGGGAGGCUUUGAAGUGUGGACGCCAGUCUGCAUGGAGCCGACCUUGAAAUACCACCCUUUAAUGUUUGAUGUUCUAACGUGGACCCGUUACCCGGGUUGCGGACAGUGUCUGGUGGGUAGUUUGACUGGGGCGGUCUCCUCCUAAAGAGUAACGGAGGAGCACGAAGGUUGGCUAAUCCUGGUCGGACAUCAGGAGGUUAGUGCAAUGGCAUAAGCCAGCUUGACUGCGAGCGUGACGGCGCGAGCAGGUGCGAAAGCAGGUCAUAGUGAUCCGGUGGUUCUGAAUGGAAGGGCCAUCGCUCAACGGAUAAAAGGUACUCCGGGGAUAACAGGCUGAUACCGCCCAAGAGUUCAUAUCGACGGCGGUGUUUGGCACCUCGAUGUCGGCUCAUCACAUCCUGGGGCUGAAGUAGGUCCCAAGGGUAUGGCUGUUCGCCAUUUAAAGUGGUACGCGAGCUGGGUUUAGAACGUCGUGAGACAGUUCGGUCCCUAUCUGCCGUGGGCGCUGGAGAACUGAGGGGGGCUGCUCCUAGUACGAGAGGACCGGAGUGGACGCAUCACUGGUGUUCGGGUUGUCAUGCCAAUGGCACUGCCCGGUAGCUAAAUGCGGAAGAGAUAAGUGCUGAAAGCAUCUAAGCACGAAACUUGCCCCGAGAUGAGUUCUCCCUGAGACUU
This 2153-nucleotide ribosomal RNA is filed under the name Salmonella enterica subsp. enterica serovar Dublin. RNAcentral describes it as "bacterial LSU rRNA". It matches the Rfam family "Bacterial large subunit ribosomal RNA", at positions 690 to 2823 of the family's 2925-position model. Lineage: Bacteria; Pseudomonadati; Pseudomonadota; Gammaproteobacteria; Enterobacterales; Enterobacteriaceae. The record is from RNAcentral.